CCAAUUUGUACGCGGUAAGAAAAAUGUUAAACGAGGAUCAGUAUUUUGUGUGCCAAUUUGUACGCGAUAAGGAAGGUAUAGGAUCAGUAUUGUGUGCGCCAAUUUGUACGCGAUAAGGAAGGUAUAGGAUCAGUAUUGUGUGCGCCAAUUUGUACGCGAUAAGGAAGGUAUUGGAUCAGUAUUGUGUGCGCCAGUUUGUACGCGAUAAGGAAGGUAUAGGAUCAGUAUUGUGUGCGCCAA
Molecule: long non-coding RNA, 240 nt
Organism: Eriocheir sinensis (Chinese mitten crab)
Lineage: Eukaryota; Metazoa; Arthropoda; Malacostraca; Decapoda; Varunidae
Exons: 3
Source: RefSeq, a predicted model, not a curated record